RNAcentral lists this unclassified non-coding RNA (181 nucleotides) under uncultured Dactylellina. RNAcentral describes it as "sequence contains ITS1". Lineage: Eukaryota; Fungi; Ascomycota; Orbiliomycetes; Orbiliales; Orbiliaceae. The record is from RNAcentral.
CCAAAACUUAGCUGUCUGGCCGCAAGGCUCUGACGCUUCAACCCUUUGUGAACCAAAAAACCUUUCGCUUCGGCAGCCGCGCCGGUUGGGAACAGCCCGCGCUUCAGCCUGCCGUUAGCACCAAACAUCAAAACUUGCAGUGGAAAACAUUGUCUGAUACCAAAUUUUCGAAUGAAAAUCA